AUUGAACGCUGGCGGCAUGCCUUACACAUGCAAGUCGAACGGCAGCACGGGUGCUUGCACCUGGUGGCGAGUGGCGAACGGGCGAGUAAUACAUCGGAACAUGUCCUGUAGUGGGGGAUAGCCCGGCGAAAGCCGGAUUAAUACCGCAUACGAUCUACGGAUGAAAGCGGGGGACCUUCGGGCCUCGCGCUAUAGGGUUGGCCGAUGGCUGAUUAGCUAGUUGGUGGGGUAAAGGCCUACCAAGGCGACGAUCAGUAGCUGGUCUGAGAGGACGACCAGCCACACUGGGACUGAGACACGGCCCAGACUCCUACGGGAGGCAGCAGUGGGGAAUUUUGGACAAUGGGCGAAAGCCUGAUCCAGCAAUGCCGCGUGUGUGAAGAAGGCCUUCGGGUUGUAAAGCACUUUUGUCCGGAAAGAAAUCCUUGGCCCUAAUACGGUCGGGGGAUGACGGUACCGGAAGAAUAAGCACCAGCUAACUACGUG
This 486-nucleotide ribosomal RNA is filed under the name uncultured bacterium. RNAcentral describes it as "partial 16S ribosomal RNA". It matches the Rfam family "Bacterial small subunit ribosomal RNA", at positions 30 to 507 of the family's 1533-position model. The record is from RNAcentral.